ACCCCUAAUGAGCCUGCCAGUAGCAUACGCUUGUCUCAAAGAUUAACCCCUUCAUGUCUAAGUAUAAGCAAUCUAUACAGUGAAACUGCGAAUGGCUCAUUAAAUCAGUUAUCGUUUAUUUGAUAGUACCUUACUACUUGGAUAACCGUGGUAAUUCUAGAGCUAAUACAUGCUAAAAACCCCGACUUCGGAAGGGGUGUAUUUAUUAAAUAAAAAACCAAUGCUCUUCGGGGCUCCUUGGUGAUUCACAAUAACUUAACGAAUCGCAUGGCCUUGUGCCGGCGAUGGUUCAUUCAAAUUUCUGCCCUAUCAACUUUCGAUGGUAGGAUAGUGGCCUACCAUGGUUUCAACGGGUAACGGGGAAUUAGGGUUCUAUUCCGGAAAGUGAGCCUGAAAAACGGCUAACACAUCCAAGGAAGGCAGCAGGCGCGCAAAUUACCCAAUCCCGACACGGGGAGGUAGUGACAAUAAAUACUGAUCCAGGGCUCUUUUGGGUCUUGGAAUUGGAAUGAGUACAAUUUAAAUCCCUUAAC
Molecule: ribosomal RNA, 533 nt
Filed under: uncultured microeukaryote
Lineage: Eukaryota
Description: SSU rRNA
Rfam family: Eukaryotic small subunit ribosomal RNA
Source: RNAcentral